GCGCCCGUAGCUCAGUUGGAUAGAGUGUUGGUUUCCGAAGCCAAAGGUCACAGGUUCGACUCCUGUCGGGCGCGCCA
Molecule: transfer RNA, 77 nt
Filed under: Methylovorus mays
Lineage: Bacteria; Pseudomonadati; Pseudomonadota; Betaproteobacteria; Nitrosomonadales; Methylophilaceae
Also listed under: 30 other names
Description: tRNA-Arg
Rfam family: tRNA
About the family: Transfer RNA (tRNA) molecules are approximately 80 nucleotides in length. Their secondary structure includes four short double-helical elements and three loops (D, anti-codon, and T loops). Further hydrogen bonds mediate the characteristic L-shaped molecular structure. tRNAs have two regions of fundamental functional importance: the anti-codon, which is responsible for specific mRNA codon recognition, and the 3' end, to which the tRNAs corresponding amino acid is attached (by aminoacyl-tRNA synthetases). tRNAs cope with the degeneracy of the genetic code in two manners: having more than one tRNA (with a specific anti-codon) for a particular amino acid; and 'wobble' base-pairing, i.e. permitting non-standard base-pairing at the 3rd anti-codon position.
Source: RNAcentral